This 250-nucleotide ribosomal RNA is filed under the name uncultured bacterium. RNAcentral describes it as "partial 16S ribosomal RNA". It matches the Rfam family "Bacterial small subunit ribosomal RNA", at positions 524 to 775 of the family's 1533-position model. The record is from RNAcentral.
UACGAAGGGGGCUAGCGUUGCUCGGAAUUACUGGGCGUAAAGGGAGCGUAGGCGGAUAGUUUAGUCAGAGGUGAAAGCCCAGGGCUCAACCUUGGAAUUGCCUUUGAUACUGGCUAUCUUGAGUACGGAAGAGGUAUGUGGAACUCCGAGUGUAGAGGUGAAAUUCGUAGAUAUUCGGAAGAACACCAGUGGCGAAGGCGACAUACUGGUCCGUUACUGACGCUGAGGCUCGAAGCGUGGGAGCAAACAG